AUGACUUUUCCUUGAUACAGCAGGAAAUAUAUAUGGUGAAAGAAUGCAAACAUUGCAACAUCGUAGCCUAUUUUGGGAGCUAUCUCAGCCGUGAAAAGCUGUGGAUAUGCAUGGAAUACUGCGGUGGCGGAUCCCUUCAAGAUAUUUACCAUGUAACAGGACCUCUGUCAGAGCUGCAAAUCGCCUACGUGUGCCGGGAAACCUUGCAGGUACUGU
Tinamus guttatus (white-throated tinamou) is the source of this 216-nucleotide non-coding RNA. The record is from RefSeq and is a predicted model, not a curated record. Lineage: Eukaryota; Metazoa; Chordata; Aves; Tinamiformes; Tinamidae.